RNAcentral lists this long non-coding RNA (531 nucleotides) under Equus caballus (horse). RNAcentral describes it as "lncRNA (ENSECAG00000057165.1)". The record is from RNAcentral. Lineage: Eukaryota; Metazoa; Chordata; Mammalia; Perissodactyla; Equidae.
GGAGGAAGAGCCGGAGCCAGCCAGGAAAGGAGGAGAGCAGAUCCUUAGGCAGAACAACACGUGCAAAGGUCCGGAGAUGCUUAUUAGCUAAUGAAAGAAAGAUGACAGUAACCGUACAGGCAGAAACCUGGCCGGCGCGCUGCAGCCACGGGAACAGGCUGAAGCAAUAAGACACACCCUCACGAUGCGCCGAGAAGGACACAGUGCUGCUUCUGUGAUAUGCCUGCCCGAAAUGCACAGCCUCACUCCAGUCAUGGGAAAACACUGGACAAAUCCAAAUCGGGGGCAGUUCGACAAAACAACUGAUCAGUACUCUUCAAAAAGUGUCGAGGUUAUGAAAGAGGAACUGUCAGCCACUAGAGGAGAAUGAGGCAAAAUGACCGCUGAAAGCAAUGUGGAUCCUGGACAGGGUCCUGCACCCGGAAGAGGACGGUAGCAGAAAGUCAAGUGAAAUUUGAGGAAGAUCUGUAGUUUACUUAAUGAUUAGCCCUGAGCUAACUACUGCCAAUCCUCCUCUUUUUGCUGAGGAAG